This 486-nucleotide ribosomal RNA is filed under the name uncultured bacterium. RNAcentral describes it as "bacterial SSU rRNA". It matches the Rfam family "Bacterial small subunit ribosomal RNA", at positions 8 to 518 of the family's 1533-position model. The record is from RNAcentral.
AGAGUUUGAUCCUGGCUCAGAACGAACGCUGGCGGCAUGGAUUAGGCAUGCAAGUCGAACGAAGCAGCAAUGCUUAGUGGCGCAAGGGUGAGGAACACGUGAGUGACCUACCCGCAAGUUUGGAACAGCUCCUGGAAACGGGAAUUAAUACCGGAUGUGAUCAUGAAGCUGCAUGGUUUCAUGAUUAAAGCAGCAAUGCGCUUGCGGAUGGGCUCGCGUCCCAUUAGCUAGUUGGUGAGGUAACGGCCCACCAAGGCCAUGAUGGGUAGCUGGUCUGAGAGGACGACCAGCCACAUUGGGACUGAGAACUGCCCAGACUCCUACGGGAGGCUGCAGUCGAGAAUUUUGGGCAAUGGACGAAAGUCUGAACCCCCAGCAAUGCCGCGUGCGGGAUGAAGGUCUUCGGAUUGUAAACCGCUGUUUGGAGGGACGAAAAUUGACGGUACUUCCAGAGGAAGCCACGGCUAACUACGUGCCAGCCGCUGC